This 868-nucleotide ribosomal RNA is filed under the name uncultured bacterium. Its description in RNAcentral is "bacterial SSU rRNA". It matches the Rfam family "Bacterial small subunit ribosomal RNA", at positions 8 to 833 of the family's 1533-position model. The record is from RNAcentral.
AGAGUUUGAUCCUGGCUCAGGACGGACGCUGGCGGCGUGCAUAAUACAUGCUAGUCGAGCGAGCUUGCCUAGAUGAUUUUGGUGCUUGCACUAAAUGAAACUAUAUACAAGCGAGCGGCGGACGGGUGAGUAACACGUGGGUAACCUGCCUCAAGAGACUGGGAUAACACCUGGAAACAGAUGCUAAUACCGGAUAACAACACUAGCACGCAUGUCUAGAGUUUGAAAGAUGGUUCUGCUAUCACUCUUGGGUGGACCUGCGGUGCAUUAGCUAGUUGGUAAGGUAACGGCUUACCAAGGCAAUGAUGCAUAGCCGAGUUGAGAGACUGAUCGGCCACAUUGGGACUGAGACACGGCCCAAACUCCUACGGGAGGCAGCAGUAGGGAAUCUUCCACAAUGGACGAAAGUCUGAUGGAGCAACGCCGCGUGAGUGAAGAAGGGUUUCGGCUCGUAAAGCUCUGUUGGUAGUGAAGAAAGAUAGAGGUAGUAACUGGCCUUUAUUUGACGGUAUAUUACUUAGAAAGUCACGGCUAAAUACGUGCCAGCAGCCGCGGUAAUACGUAGGUGGCAAGCGUUGUCCGGAUUUAUUGGGCGUAAAGCGAGUGCAGGCGGUUCAAUAAGUCUGAUGUGAAAGCCUUCGGCUCAACCGGAGAAUUGCAUCAGAAACUGUUGAACUUGAGUGCAGAAGAGGAGAGUGGAACUCCAUGUGUAGCGGUGGAAUGCGUAGAUAUAUGGAAGAACACCAGUGGCGAAGGCGGCUCUCUGGUCUGCAACUGACGCUGAGGCUCGAAAGCAUGGGUAGCGAACAGGAUUAGAUACCCUGGUAGUCCAUGCCGUAAACGAUGAGUGCUAAGUGUUGGGGGGUUU